RNAcentral lists this ribosomal RNA (451 nucleotides) under uncultured bacterium. RNAcentral describes it as "partial 16S ribosomal RNA". It matches the Rfam family "Bacterial small subunit ribosomal RNA", at positions 28 to 523 of the family's 1533-position model. The record is from RNAcentral.
GAUGAACGCUGGCGGUAUGCCUAACACAUGCAAGUCGAACGGGCUUUUCGGAGCUAGUGGCGGACGGGUGAGUAACGCGUGAGAAUCUGCCUUCAGGAUGGGGAUAACAGGGAGAAAUCGCUGCUAAAACCCAAUGUGCCGAAAGGUGAAAUACUUGUAGCCAGAAGAGGAGCUCGCGUCCGAUUAGUUCGUUGGUGGGGUAAGAGCCUACCAGGGCAGCGAUCGGUAGCUGGUCUGAGAGGAUGAGCAGCCACACUGGGACUGAGACACGGCCCAGACUCCUACGGGAGGCAGCAGUGGGGAAUUUUCCGCAAUGGGCGAAAGCCUGACGGAGCAAUACCGCGUGAGGGAGGAAGGCUUUUGGGUUGUAAACCUCUUUUGUUAAGGAAGAAGAAAGUGACGGUACUUAAAGAAUAAGCAUCGGCUAACUCCGUGCCAGCCGCCGCGGUAA